AGACCCCUUGGUUCCUGCCUAGUUCUGCUCAAUCCCCCACCAAUGCCCCCCAGUGACCUGGAACUCCAGCCUCUGGACACCACCAUAGAUAGAAAGAGAUCAAUGGCCUUGAAGUGAUGUAGAAAAAUGGCUUGUGAAAAGCAAUAACCUUAUUGUUAUGAACAAGAAUGUGCAUGAAUUUGCUGUUAAACCCCCGAAACGUUGCUGGGUUAAACUUCAUUUCUCUCCAGAGACACUGGGGACAUUUGGGACAUCUGGGACAUCAGAGACAUCAGGAUUAUCUAGGACAUUUGGGAUAUCAGGGACAUCUGGGACACUUGGAAUAUUUGGGACAUCAGGGAAUGAGGGAAACCUCCUGAAGUCCCUUCUGCUGCCAUUGCACUUUCUUUUCUUUACCUGAAUGCCUUUCAGCUAAACAAUGUGCCUUUAAUUAUUUUUGACCCCUGGUCCCCAUUUCACUACAAAUGUACCAGAAUUAUCACAGCCUUACAUGAUACUGUUGAUAUGGUUAUCUGGUUCUGAAUAGCCUUGCUUCCCCAGACUCCCUGUCAUCAUUCCAGACUCUACUCUGCCCUUGGUGUAAUCAAGGCCAAGGAGGUUCUUAUCUUAUGUACUGAUAUUUUACAUAUCAGAUCAAUGGGAUAUGCUUUGCUUUCUUUCAGUAGCCCCUAAAACCCCUCCAUGGUAAUGUCCCUGUUCUGUUACUGGCUGUUAGUGCAUCGGUGCGGUCCUACUUCCUUUCCAGAAUAUCCCUGUGCUUCUGUCUGAGACAUUCUGUAGCCCAUUUCAUAGCUCUAAUAUUAAGCCACCGUUCUCAAUUAUACCUUCCUCAGAAUAUCUUUUUACCUCUCUCGUUUACAGCCCUCGUGCUGGCACAUACCAUGCAAUAAUCACACUUUUUCAAUGCCUCAUUAUCUGCUAAGCAAAACUGUACUGUCAGCAUCUAUUCUUUAUCGUUCUUCUAGCUGAUAACUGGUUUUAAUUCCUCCAGUAAAAUUAAAGCAUAGACCCAGUGCCAAUGACUCUGUGGUCUUGAACUUUGAAGCAGGAACGUUUUUAAAAAUGAUAAACAUCUACUUCCAUUUCAGAAAAACUUAACUAUUAAAAUAAUGUGUAGGAGUUCAAGUGACUACCUCUCCUACCCCCUCUAUCUUCUCCUGAAUUGGACAUGACCUCUGAAAAGGAACAUUUCUUUCCAUUUGUCUUGCUUCAGUAGUUUACAACAAACCUUUGAACAGUGAGAAUCUUGUUUAUUCCCGGACACCUCGUUCUAUAAAAGGCUUUUCUCAGACUGGCACAAAGACUACUGAAAUCAGCCAUCCUGAAUCAUCUGGACAAAAUAUGAAAUUCAUUGUUUCUUUCUUCAUUCUCUUCACCCUUACUGCUCUUCAGAAUGCAGGAGCUCAAGACUCUUGCUCACACCAGUGUGGGGAGCUGCUCAGUACCUGUUCUUGCCAGGUGACAUGCCAGUCCUUGGGGAAUUGCUGCCCUGAUUAUAAAGAAUUUUGUCUUCAGAUUUCUCCGUACUCAGGAUCUCUGAUGGGAGGCAAAGACUUUUUGAUUGAAAAUACAGCUUUUAAUACCUCUUCUGUGCUAACAUGCAGGUUCAAGCAGGAAAUCAAAACCAGUGGCUAUACUGCUAAGGAUGGAAAAGGCCACUGCAUCUCCCCGUUGCUUUAUGAGACUGGUUUCAUCCCUUUUGAAGUUUCUGUAGAUGAUGGGAGGACGUUCCCCUACUCUGGAACUUGGCUAUCAGUACAUCACAGCAAGGUUUCAGAUGAAGAAAAAUGUACUUUGGUGAAUGAGACAAAAUGGCAAUACUAUGGUACCCCCAACACUUAUGGAAACUUAACUCUUACCUGGACACAUCAGGCACUUGCAGAAACCCACGUCAACAUAGAAGUCUGGGGAUACCAUGAAACAGGUGACAGUUACUCAGAAAACUGGUUGGCUGAAUGGAAAUAUCUUUAUACUUUGGCCAGAGAAAUCCCCAAUACAGGGAAAUUUACUUUCACUCCUGUACCUGCUGAAGGAAAUUACAGUACGUGGGACUUCGGAAUUUUGAGGAUUACACCCAGCAGCUAUUCUGAUGGGCAGAGCAACAUUCCAUCACUCUGGAGCAACGAGCAUGCAUUGGCUUGGCACCUCGGGAAAGACUUCAGGGAUGACCCAAAUGCAUGGGCAACUGCAAAAUGUAUGGAAUGGGACAGAAAGGAAGAGAAGCUUCCAAACUUCAAGGAAGAAAUUAUAGACUGCCCUUGCACUUUGGCACAGGCAAGAGCUGACACUGGCAGGUUCCAUACAGAUUAUGGCUGCAACAUUGAGAAGGGGAGUGUGUGUACUUAUCACCCUGGUGCUGUGCACUGUGUGAGAGCCAUUCAAGCCAGUCCCCAGUAUGCAGCAGGACAGCAGUGUUGCUAUGACUCCACGGGAACACAGAUCCUCACACAUGACUCCACGGGAGGCAGCACACCCGAUCGAGGCCAUGACUGGGGUUCACCACCUUUCCUGAAACCUCCCCGGAUACCUGGCUUUUCCCAUUGGCUUUAUGAUGUUAUCAGCUUCUAUUACUGCUGCCUGUGGUCUGAUAAUUGUCAGUUCUAUAUGAAAAGGCGUCCCUCUAGUGACUGCAGGACGUAUCGCCCACCUCGAGCUGCAUCUGCUUUUGGGGAUCCUCAUUUCUUCACAUUUGAUGGUCUGAACUUCACCUUCAAUGGCCUAGGAGAAUACCUGUUGGUAGAGUCUGAUCUCACAUCCCUAAGAGUGCAAGGGAGGACACAGCAGGGUCGCCUUCCCAAUGGAACUGGAGCUCAGGGGACAGGCUUGUCUGCAGUGGCCAUGCAGGAGAACAACUCUGAUGUGAUUGAAGUACGGUACUCAGAGGAUUUGAAUCUGGAGGUCCUGUUAAACCAAAAGGUUCUCAACUUCUCUGAACAGACCUGGAUGGACCUGAAAGGUCUCUUUCUCCAUUCUACACCUGAUCAGAACAUCACAGUGAUGUUCUCUUCUGGGUGUGGAGUGGAAAUACGAGGAAGUGGAGGAUUUCUGACCCUGACAGUUCUGCUCCCAGAGAAGUUCAUGAAUCACACACAGGGUCUCUUUGGGGUAAUGAAUGGCAAUACAGAGGAUGAAUACACUUUCAGGAAUAAAACCACCCUACCAGUUCAUGCAAGUCCCCAGCAGUUGUUUGAGUUUGGAGCUAACUGGGCUAUUGAGAAUGGAACUUCUCUCUUUACUUAUGACACAGAGUUCUUACUGAACAAUUUCUUUUAUGGGGAGAAGCACAGUGCUUCCUUCCUGCCCGUGUUCUUCCCUUAUGAAGACCCUGCUGAUCCCCUGGUAGAAGAGAUGGUCUCACUCUGUGGCUCUGACCCGUUCUGCAGAUUCGAUGUCCUGACAACAAGAAGCCUUCAAGUGGGAAAUUCCACAAGACUAUCUCAUCAGAAUCACAAGCUGCUGGUAGAACAUCUGGAGCCAGUCAGGGCUAUGAACUCACCGGGUCAAAGGAAAGAACUUGCCAAACAUCGGGGGCCUGGUCUGGAGACACACCCAGUUGCAUCCAGAAAACAGCUAUUGAACAACUAAUUCUUCUUGGCUGUGUAUUUGGAAUAGUCGGUGUUGCAGUCCUGGCACGUCUGACUUUUUUAUGUAGAAAGGAGAGACACAAAGGAAACCAGAAACUUGUUUCAGAAGUUCCAGUAGAAUAAGAGACAAUGAAAUUCCAGCGGAGUUUUUAAUGAAAUACAGAAAAAGCAUAGCAGAGGCUUAAAUCAUCCACAGCAACAAAUAUCGACUUUCCAAACACAAACAAUGGUAUCAUUUUGUAUGAUAUAAUUUGAUUUCUGCUAUCAAUAUAAUGAGUAUUGAAUUGUAUGGGAAAUGCUAAUCAAAUUCCUGACAUUACAUCCUGGCAGGCUGAGCAAAAGACAAUGUUUCUGAAAGCAUUUAUAUUAGAAAUAUAAAAUUAUUUAUUCAUUACUUAUUAGCUGCCAUUGCUGUUGCCAUUGUUGUUUGUAUACAGAGACCAUAAACCACAAAAAGAAAAUUACAAAAUGAGAAUGAGUGACCUUGAAUACAGUAAGUUGAAAUACAAAUAGAAAGAAAAAAUCUUGUAAAAAAAAAAAAAAGAACUUUGAAAGAAA
Molecule: RNA transcript, 4142 nt
Organism: Manacus vitellinus (golden-collared manakin)
Lineage: Eukaryota; Metazoa; Chordata; Aves; Passeriformes; Pipridae
Gene: SUSD2
Gene name: sushi domain containing 2
Exons: 15
Source: RefSeq, a predicted model, not a curated record